UACAGAGGUCUCGAGCGUUAGGCGGAAUCACUGGGCUUAAAGCGUGUGUAGGCGGUUCGUUAAGUACCUUGUGAAAUCCCACGGCUUAACCGUGGAACUGCUUGGUAUACUGGCGGUCUUGAGCCAGCUAGGGGCUACCGGAACAAAUGGUGGAGCGGUGAAAUGCGUAGAUAUCAUUUGGAACGCCAAUGGUGAAAACAGGUAGCUGGGGCUGUGCUGACGCUGAGACACGAAAGCCAGGGGAGCAAACGGG
RNAcentral lists this ribosomal RNA (253 nucleotides) under uncultured bacterium. Its description in RNAcentral is "partial 16S ribosomal RNA". It matches the Rfam family "Bacterial small subunit ribosomal RNA", at positions 524 to 776 of the family's 1533-position model. The record is from RNAcentral.